GCUAUAGCUCAGUGGUAGAUCAUCUGCUUUGCAUACAGAAGGUCCCAAGUUCAAUCCAGGUAGGACUG
Molecule: non-coding RNA, 68 nt
Organism: Podarcis lilfordi (Lilford's wall lizard)
Lineage: Eukaryota; Metazoa; Chordata; Lepidosauria; Squamata; Lacertidae
Source: the annotation of a GenBank genome assembly